UACGAAGGGGGCUAGCGUUGCUCGGAAUCACUGGGCGUAAAGCGCACGUAGGCGGCUUUCUAAGUCAGGGGUGAAAUCCUGGAGCUCAACUCCAGAACUGCCUUUGAUACUGGGAAGCUUGAGUCCGGAAGAGGUGAGUGGAACUGCGAGUGUAGAGGUGAAAUUCGUAGAUAUUCGCAAGAACACCAGUGGCGAAGGCGACUACCUGGCCUGUUCUUGACGCUGAGGCGCGAAAGCUAGGGGAGCAAACGGG
Molecule: ribosomal RNA, 253 nt
Filed under: uncultured bacterium
Lineage: Bacteria
Description: partial 16S ribosomal RNA
Rfam family: Bacterial small subunit ribosomal RNA
Source: RNAcentral